GGGCAUACCCGUAGACCUUGUCUGACUGUGUUUGUGGCCAGGCGAGGGGGACAGUGUAUGCAAGAGUAACUUGGAGUUCGUGCCAGCUCUAGCCAGCUGAACCGGUGGCUGGAUAAAUUGCAGCACUCCCAACAUUG
Small nucleolar RNA from Ailuropoda melanoleuca (giant panda), 137 nucleotides. Ensembl annotates it as small nucleolar RNA, H/ACA box 58B. NCBI's taxonomy places the organism in Eukaryota, Metazoa, Chordata, Mammalia, Carnivora, Ursidae. The record is from Ensembl.